AUGAAUAGCACAAUGCCUGCAAUCUUGAGCUGGAAUGUACGCGGGCUGAACUCACCGGCAAAGAGGAAUGUUGUGCGUCAGGUUGCUGAAGUGCUGCAAAUUUCCAUCCUCGGUCUUCAGGAAACAAAGCUGGAGACCUGGCAGCAACACACCGUCAGAGAGUUGGGAGGAAACAUGUUGGAUGAUUAUGCCGUCCUCCCUGCCAUGUGCACUAGGGGAGGAGCUGCCAUCUUAUGGAACAAGAGCAGUGUCUCGUUUGCCUCUCAAGCAGUCGGUUGUUUCUCAAUCACUGGCAUGGUCACGGUGCUGCAUGACGGCUCCUGGUUCUGGCUGACUUCUGUAUAUGGUCCUGUGGACGAUACGCGCAAGGAUGCUUUUCUUGCCGAGCUUGCCCAUGUGGCGCCCCCAGCUGGCGAGCCGUGGUUGAUCAAUGGGGAUUUCAACAUCAUCUAUGAAGCUCGAGACAAAAACAACCUCAAUUUGAACAGAAGGAUUAUGGGCAUGUUCAGAACUGCUAUUGACAGGGCAGGCCUCAGAGAAAUCAAGUGU
This 549-nucleotide ribosomal RNA is filed under the name Triticum aestivum (bread wheat). Its description in RNAcentral is "partial small subunit ribosomal RNA". The record is from RNAcentral. Lineage: Eukaryota; Viridiplantae; Streptophyta; Magnoliopsida; Poales; Poaceae.